AAGACUAUAGACCUGCGGAGUACCUGCGGAAGGAUCAUUAUUGAAUGAAUAUAGAGUUGGUUGUUGCUGGCCUUUGAGCAUGUGCACACCUUCUCUUUUCAUCCACACACACCUGUGAACUUGUGAGGCAGGAAGGGGAGAGAGGCCUUAAUUGGUCUGAUUUUUUUCCUGCCUACUUAAUCACACAAACUCAUUUAUUUUAAACUGAAUGUAAUUGAUGUAACACAUCAUUUAAUACAA
Molecule: unclassified non-coding RNA, 240 nt
Filed under: soil metagenome
Description: partial contains 5.8S ribosomal RNA, internal transcribed spacer 2, and large subunit ribosomal RNA
Source: RNAcentral